CACUGACUGUCUUGUUAGAUUAACCCAAUAAAUUUCAUUCACUCUGCAUACUCAAUCCUAUAGACACCCUUUUAAUCCUUCAAUCACAGACGUAACUCGAUUUCACAAAAUAGUCAAGAGUAUUCAAAUCCACUUCAUUAAAAAUCCCGAUUCACCAUUACAAUACUGACUUCAGCAGCGAUUGCCUCAGUCUUCCCAAAACUCUACGAAGAAGAAAAAUCCAAAUUC
Molecule: long non-coding RNA, 228 nt
Filed under: Physcomitrium patens
Lineage: Eukaryota; Viridiplantae; Streptophyta; Bryopsida; Funariales; Funariaceae
Description: long non-coding RNA (PPAT_LNC001693)
Source: RNAcentral